UGCCAGCCGCCGCGGUAAUACGGAGGGAGCGAGCGUUAAUCGGAAUUACUGGGCGUAAAGCGCGCGUAGGCGGCUUUGUAAGUCGGAUGUGAAAGCCCAGGGCUCAACCCUGGAAUUGCAUUCGAUACUGCAUGGCUAGAGUAUGGUAGAGGGAAGUGGAAUUUCCGGUGUAGCGGUGAAAUGCGUAGAUAUCGGAAGGAACACCAGUGGCGAAGGCGACUUCCUGGGCCAAUACUGACGCUGAGGUGCGAAAGCGUGGGGAGCAAACAGGAUUAGAUA
Molecule: ribosomal RNA, 279 nt
Filed under: uncultured bacterium
Lineage: Bacteria
Description: partial 16S ribosomal RNA
Rfam family: Bacterial small subunit ribosomal RNA
Source: RNAcentral